This 253-nucleotide ribosomal RNA is filed under the name uncultured bacterium. Its description in RNAcentral is "partial 16S ribosomal RNA". It matches the Rfam family "Bacterial small subunit ribosomal RNA", at positions 524 to 776 of the family's 1533-position model. The record is from RNAcentral.
AACGUAGGAGACAAACGUUAUCCGGAGUUACUGGGCGUAAAGGGCGUGCAGGCGGUCGACUAGGUCUGGCGUGAAAGCUCGCGGCUAAACCGCGAGAGGUCGUUGGAUACUGGUUGACUAGAGGACGGUAGAGGCGUGUGGAAUUCCGGGUGUAGUGGUGAAAUGCGUAGAGAUCCGGAGGAACACCAGUGGCGAAGGCGACACGCUGGGCCGUACCUGACGCUAAAACGCGACAGCAUGGGGAGCGAACGGG